UCCCAGCUGGGAGCCAUGAAGUUCUUACAUGCAGUGCUGAGGGAGACCUGAGGUUGCAGCAAAAGUGAAGGGUAUGGAGCUGGGAGGUGGUAGGAAAGAGCAACACCUGCCUGAAGAGAAAAGCGAAGGAGCCAUGGGGAAGGGCGUCGGGCAUAAAGCCAGCCCCACCUAGACCAGCAGUCCAGCUCACACAUCAUCUAAGAGACUUUGCAGGACAGAGCAGGGUUCCUGGAUCAGUUGACCUGGAAUGAGAGGUCAGAUUCCUGGGAACCAGUAGGGGCAGUGACAUCAGAGCAGUGACGUCACUGCCUCACCUCCGAUCAGAGGAAGGAGGCCCAGAACCCCAGCUCUCAGAGAAGCAGAGCUCUGAGCAAGGAUACGCCUCCCAGCUCUGGCCCUCCUGCCAUGAGCUACAACUCCGUCUGCUGUGUGGCUCUUCGUCUCCUGGCAGCAGGCUUUGUGGAUUCUGGAGUCACCCAAACCCCGAGAUACCUGAUUAAAGCAAGAGGACAGCGAGGGACCCUGGGCUGCUCCCCUGUCUCUGGACACCUCUCCGUGUACUGGUACCAACAGGCCCUGGGCCAGGGCCCCGAGUUCCUCGUUGAGUAUUACAGGCAGGAAGUGAGCGGAGAAGCACAGCUCCGGGAUCGAUUCUCAGGAAAACAGUUUAGUGAGUUUCACUCUGAGCUGAACUUGAGCUCCUUGGAGCUGACAGACUCAGCCGUGUAUCUCUGUGCCAGCAGCCAAGACACAGCCCUGCAUGAUCAGGUGCCUCUGGGACAGAAACACUCCUGCCCCAGCUCAGGAAGUGGCUGUGAGGGUGACUGCCUGCCUGUCAGGCCUCGAUAGAUCCGAAAGACUCUCCCAGACGUUCUUCCUCUGCUGUGUUUUAAUGCUUUCAAAGAUCAUCCUGCUGCUAAGUCACUUCAGUCGUGUCCGACUCUGUGCGACCCCAUAGACAGCAGCCCACCAGGCUCCCCCGUUCCUGGGAUUCUCCAGGCAAGAACACUGGAGUGGGUUGCCAUUUCCUUCU
Molecule: non-coding RNA, 1033 nt
Organism: Bubalus bubalis (water buffalo)
Lineage: Eukaryota; Metazoa; Chordata; Mammalia; Artiodactyla; Bovidae
Source: the annotation of a RefSeq genome assembly